UGCCUACGGGAGGCAGCAGUGAGGACUUUUGGUGUUUGUUCGAGAGGCUGCACCAGCCAAGUCGCGUGAGGGAUGACGGCCCUACGGGUUGUAAACCUCUUUUGUCGGGGAGCAAGACCCGCCUCGUGCAGGCGGAGCGAGAGUACCCGAAGAAAAAGCAUCGGCUAACUCCGUGCCAGCAGCCGCGGUAAUACGGAGGAUGCGAGCGUUAUCCGGAUUUAUUGGGUUUAAAGGGUGCGCAGGCGGACCAUCAAGUCAGCGGUAAAAUCGUGGGGCCCAACCCCAUCCCGCCGUUGAAACUGGCG
RNAcentral lists this ribosomal RNA (305 nucleotides) under uncultured bacterium. RNAcentral's name for it is "bacterial SSU rRNA". It matches the Rfam family "Bacterial small subunit ribosomal RNA", at positions 335 to 638 of the family's 1533-position model. The record is from RNAcentral.